GGGUUGUGAGGUUAAGUGACUAAGCGUACACGGUGGAUGCCCUGGCAGUCAGAGGCGAUGAAGGACGUGCUAAUCUGCGAUAAGCGUCGGUAAGGUGAUAUGAACCGUUAUAAC
Molecule: ribosomal RNA, 114 nt
Filed under: Escherichia coli
Lineage: Bacteria; Pseudomonadati; Pseudomonadota; Gammaproteobacteria; Enterobacterales; Enterobacteriaceae
Description: partial 23S ribosomal RNA
Rfam family: Bacterial large subunit ribosomal RNA
Source: RNAcentral